Molecule: long non-coding RNA, 887 nt
Organism: Mustela lutreola (European mink)
Lineage: Eukaryota; Metazoa; Chordata; Mammalia; Carnivora; Mustelidae
Exons: 2
Source: RefSeq, a predicted model, not a curated record
CCCCCAGUCCAUCUCUGCUGGGCGCUGUGGUACCGGUGGCUGGGUCUCCGUGGGUCUCCGUGGGUCUUCGGCGGGAUGUGUGCUGCGCGGUCCACGUUACCAAGGGGCGGGGCCGAGCCUUACCAGCCUUACAGCGCCGGUGGCUCUGCGCCCCCUCCGCGCAGCCGCGGUGGAGUCUGCCCUGACAUUCACACGUACACUUGUGAAUCGUGACAGGCAGCGUUCAGGGGUUUGGUCUCUAUGACUUCGCUGUUUUCCUCCCGCCGGACUCACCUCUCACAUACCCAGAGGUCCUCUUGAGGAGGCGUCUGGGAGAGUGGAGUUGGACGGAGUAUGAAUACAACUUUUGUGAGGAGAGAAGUUCCUUGACAACAGGAAUUGCCCUCUGGUACACGUGCAGCAUGUAAUUAGUGGACACCUGACUUGAAAGACGAAUAAUCCCAUUACAACAAAUGGACUGUAUCAUUGCAACAUGGAUGUCCUCAUAGAAAGAGAACUUUUUUCCUCCCCAAAAGUACAAAUUCGUUCAUUAACCUCAUGUAAUAUAUUCCAUCAGGCAUACAAUGAUACAAAAACAAUAACCACUUCAAAUGCAUUGGUUUAAUUCCAGGUGACACGGAGUUCAGGAUAGAACCAAGACUGAAGAGCACACAUUGGCAGGAUUCCUGGCUAGUUUCACUCUGACCUCAGAACUAACACAGAAAUGACUGAGUGACAAAAAAUAAAGAGAAUAUGAGCCACUGUAUGAUUGUUUUAUUUUUUUUUUUUACAAAAGUUUAUUCUUAAAUGUACAACAGGAUCUAAGACAACACUUCAUUCCAGCUAUAGAUAGCAACAGAUGCCAUGACAGGGAAUCCAGAUGUUUAAACAGGAAUGGAAUUAAGGAU